UUAGAGUUUGAUCAUGGCUCAGGACGAACGCUGGCGGCGCGCUUAAUACAUGCAAGUCGAGCGAGAACCUGGGCUUCGGCCCAGGGGACAGCGGCGAACGGGUGAGUAACACGUGGGUAAUCAACCCCCGACACCGGGAUAGCCCGGGGAAACCCGGAUUAAUACCGGAUGCCCCAUCUGGCUUUCGAGCCGGCUGGAAAAGGGUAGCUUCGGCCUCCGGUCGGGGACGAGCCCGCGGCGGAUUAGCUUGUUGGUGAGGUAAAGGCUCACCAAGGCGACGAUCCGUAGCUGGUCUGAGAGGACGAUCAGCCACACUGGGACUGAGACACGGCCCAGACUCCUACGGGAGGCAGCAGUAGGGAAUCUUGCGCAAUGGGCGAAAGCCUGACGCAGCGACGCCGCGUGAGGGAAGAAGGCCUUCGGGUUGUAAACCUCUUUCAGGAGGGACGAAGCCACUCGGGUUAAUAGCCCAGAGGGUGACGGUACCUCCAGAAGAAGCCCCGGCUAACUACGUGCCAGCAGCCGCGGUACGCCC
RNAcentral lists this ribosomal RNA (535 nucleotides) under uncultured bacterium. Its description in RNAcentral is "bacterial SSU rRNA". It matches the Rfam family "Bacterial small subunit ribosomal RNA", at positions 1 to 527 of the family's 1533-position model. The record is from RNAcentral.